RNAcentral lists this ribosomal RNA (459 nucleotides) under Polymorphus magnus. Its description in RNAcentral is "partial large subunit ribosomal RNA". It matches the Rfam family "Eukaryotic large subunit ribosomal RNA", at positions 2374 to 2833 of the family's 3401-position model. The record is from RNAcentral. Lineage: Eukaryota; Metazoa; Acanthocephala; Palaeacanthocephala; Polymorphida; Polymorphidae.
AGGGAACGGGCUUGGGAUGAGACGGCGGGGAAAGAAGACCCUGUUGAGCUUGACUCUAGUCAGUCUUUGUGAAGAAACAUGAGAGAUGUAGGAUACGUGGGACCUCAGGGGUCAGUGAAAUACCACUGCUUUCAUUGUUACUUCACUUACUCGAUUGUUAUGUAAGCGAACGCGCUGUUUGUCAAAAAUCUAUUUCUUGCUUCAGUGCACGAGAAAAUUACUGUUCGAGAACAACCACUGAUUGGGAGUUUGACUGGGGCGGUACAUCUGUCAAAAUCUAACGCGGUGCCCAAAGGUGUUCUCAGCGAGAACAGAAGAUUCGCGUGGCGCGAAAGGGCAAAAGAUCGCUUGAACUUGAUUUCCAGUCGGGAUAUGGACGAUGAAAGUUCGGCCUAUUGAUUUAUGACCAUUACGUCUUUGGAGCAAGUGGGUCGCAAAAGUUACCACAGGGAUAACUGG